This 690-nucleotide ribosomal RNA is filed under the name uncultured Bacilli bacterium. RNAcentral's name for it is "bacterial SSU rRNA". It matches the Rfam family "Bacterial small subunit ribosomal RNA", at positions 67 to 727 of the family's 1533-position model. The record is from RNAcentral. Lineage: Bacteria; Bacillati; Bacillota; Bacilli.
CGAAACUUUCUUACACCGAAUGCUUGCAUUCACCGUAAGAAGUUGAGUGGCGGACGGGUGAGUAACACGUGGGUAACCUGCCUAAAAGAAGGGGAUAACACUUGGAAACAGGUGCUAAUACCGUAUAUCUCUAAGGAUCGCAUGAUCCUUAGAUGAAAGAUGGUUCUGCUAUCGCUUUUAGAUGGACCCGCGGCGUAUUAACUAGUUGGUGGGGUAACAGCCUACCAAGGUGAUGAUACGUAGCCGAACUGAGAGGUUGAUCGGCCACAUUGGGACUGAGACACGGCCCAAACUCCUACGGGAGGCAGCAGUAGGGAAUCUUCCACAAUGGACGCAAGUCUGAUGGAGCAACGCCGCGUGAGUGAAGAAGGUCUUCGGAUCGUAAAACUCUGUUGUUAGAGAAGAACACGAGUGAGAGUAACUGUUCAUUCGAUGACGGUAUCUAACCAGCAAGCCACGGCUAACUACGUGCCAGCAGCCGCGGUAAUACGUAGGUGGCAAGCGUUGUCCGGAUUUAUUGGGCGUAAAGGGAACGCAGGCGGUCUUUUAAGUCUGAUGUGAAAGCCUUCGGCUUAACCGGAGUAGUGCAUUGGAAACUGGAAGACUUGAGUGCAGAAGAGGAGAGUGGACUCCAUGUGUAGCGGUGAAAUGCGUAGAUAUAUGGAAGAACACCAGUGGCGAAAGCGGCUC